This 408-nucleotide ribosomal RNA is filed under the name uncultured bacterium. RNAcentral describes it as "partial 16S ribosomal RNA". It matches the Rfam family "Bacterial small subunit ribosomal RNA", at positions 28 to 526 of the family's 1533-position model. The record is from RNAcentral.
GACGAACGCUGGCGGCGUGCUUAACACAUGCAAGUCGAACGGAGGCGCGAACGGGUGAGUAACACGUGUGUGACCUGCCCUGCACUUCGGGAUAAGCCUGGGCAACUGGGUCUACUACCGGAUAGUGCGGGAUGGGCCCGCGGCCUAUCAGCUUGUUGGUGGGGUAAUGGCCUACCAAGGCGGCGACGGGUAGCCGGCCUGAGAGGGGGGCCGGCCACAUUGGGACUGGGAUACCGCCCAGACUCCUACGGGAGGCAGGAGUGGGGAAUAUUGCACGAUGGGCGGAAGCCUGAUGCAGCGACGCCGCGUGGGGGAUGACGGCCUUCGGGUUGUAAACUCCUUUCACCAUCGACGCGGUAGAGGGAGAAGAAGCACCGGCUAACUCCGUGCCAGCAGCCGCGGUAAUAC